UCACGAUUCAUAUUGGACGCAUGCAUGUGAUGUGGAUGAAAUGAACAGAAUACUCAGGGAAAAGUUUGUUGAGCUUUACGAAAAACCAAUCCUGGAGAAUUUGAUGGAGAGCUUUCAGCAAUCUUUUCCGACAUUAUCCUUUCCCUCUUUACCUGAACGAGGAGACUUUGAUCUGCAGGAUGUGUUAGAAUCACCAUAUUUCUUCAACUGAUCAAAUGCAGGGGCUUUUCUUUAUGUUGCACUAGCAUGACUCAACAUUUGUAGGUGUCAGCCUGUUUGCACAAGUGAGCAUGAUAAGGAAAGCCCACAAUCUGACAAGAAUUUCAUGGUGGAGACUAGCUAUGUAUAUAUUUUUAAAGACACUCUCAAAGAUCUCCAGUGGGUUGCUCUUAAAAAAAAAAAAAAAGAAAGAAAGAUCUCCAGCGGCUAUGAUCUCUACUUCACUAAGAGCCUCGAGUGACGUUGUGUAGCAAGCAUGAAAUUUUAGUUCUGGAGUCGUAAGUUAUCAGUCCUGGGUACA
RNAcentral lists this unclassified non-coding RNA (520 nucleotides) under Hevea brasiliensis (rubber tree). The record is from RNAcentral. Lineage: Eukaryota; Viridiplantae; Streptophyta; Magnoliopsida; Malpighiales; Euphorbiaceae.